Molecule: unclassified non-coding RNA, 395 nt
Filed under: soil metagenome
Description: partial contains 5.8S ribosomal RNA, internal transcribed spacer 2, and large subunit ribosomal RNA
Rfam family: 5.8S ribosomal RNA (bases 1-122)
Source: RNAcentral
GAUGAAGAACGCAGCGAAAUGCGAUACUUGGUGUGAAUUGCAGAAUCCCGUGAACCAUCGAGUCUUUGAACGCAAGUUGCGCCCGAAGCCAUCAGGUUGAGGGCACGUCUGCCUGGGCGUCACAUAUCGUUGCCCAAUGCCUAUUGCAGUGCAAUAGGAAUUUCUAGGGCGAAUGAUGGCUUCCCGUGAGCGUUGUUGCCUCGCGGUUGGUUGAAAAUCGAGUCCUUGGUAGGGUGUGCCAUGGUAGAUGGUGGUCGAGUUAGAACGAUACCGAUCAUGUGCAUGCUCCCCAAAAUAUGGCCUCUAUGACCCUCACGCGUCUUUUGACGCUCAUGACGAGACCUCAGGUCAGGCGGGGCUACCCGCUGAAUUUAAGCAUAUCAAUAAGCGGAGGA